This 540-nucleotide ribosomal RNA is filed under the name uncultured Actinomycetes bacterium. Its description in RNAcentral is "bacterial SSU rRNA". It matches the Rfam family "Bacterial small subunit ribosomal RNA", at positions 232 to 786 of the family's 1533-position model. Lineage: Bacteria; Bacillati; Actinomycetota; Actinomycetes. The record is from RNAcentral.
CGCGGCCUAUCAGCUUGUUGGUGAGGUAAUGGCUCACCAAGGCAUCGACGGGUAGCUGGUCUGAGAGGACGAUCAGCCACACUGGGACUGAGACACGGCCCAGACUCCUACGGGAGGCAGCAGUAGGGAAUCUUGCGCAAUGGGGGAAACCCUGACGCAGCAACGCCGCGUGGGGGAUGAAUGCCUUCGGGUUGUAAACCCCUUUCAGCAGGGACGAAAAUGACGGUACCUGCAGAAGAAGCUCCGGCCAACUACGUGCCAGCAGCCGCGGUAAUACGUAGGGAGCGAGCGUUGUCCGGAAUUAUUGGGCGUAAAGAGCUCGUAGGCGGUUCAGUAAGUCGGGUGUGAAAACUCAAGGCUCAACCUUGAGACGCCACUCGAUACUGCUGUGACUUGAGUCCGGUAGAGGAGUGUGGAAUUCCUGGUGUAGCGGUGAAAUGCGCAGAUAUCAGGAGGAACACCAGCGGCGAAGGCGGCACUCUGGGCCGGUACUGACGCUGAGGAGCGAAAGCAUGGGGAGCAAACAGGAUAAUCGUCGAC